This 435-nucleotide ribosomal RNA is filed under the name uncultured bacterium. Its description in RNAcentral is "bacterial SSU rRNA". It matches the Rfam family "Bacterial small subunit ribosomal RNA", at positions 28 to 458 of the family's 1533-position model. The record is from RNAcentral.
GACGAACGCUGGCGGCGCGCCUAACACAUGCAAGUCGAACGGAGCUUAGAGAGCUUGCUUUUUAAGCUUAGUGGCGAACGGGUGAGUAACGCGUGAGUAACCUGCCCUAGAGUGGGGGACAACAGUUGGAAACGACUGCUAAUACCGCAUAAGCCCACGGUACCGCAUGGCACUGAGGGAAAAGGAUUUAUUCGCUUUAGGAUGGACUCGCGUCCAAUUAGCUAGUUGGUGAGGUAAUGGCCCACCAAGGCGACGAUUGGUAGCCGGACUGAGAGGUUGAACGGCCACAUUGGGACUGAGACACGGCCCAGACUCCUACGGGAGGCAGCAGUGGGGGAUAUUGCACAAUGGGGGAAACCCUGAUGCAGCGACGCCGCGUGGAGGAAGAAGGUUUUCGGAUUGUAAACUCCUGUCGUUAGGGACGAUAAUGACGCU